RNAcentral lists this ribosomal RNA (773 nucleotides) under uncultured bacterium. Its description in RNAcentral is "bacterial SSU rRNA". It matches the Rfam family "Bacterial small subunit ribosomal RNA", at positions 10 to 793 of the family's 1533-position model. The record is from RNAcentral.
AGUUUGAUCCUGGCUCAGGACGAACGCUGGUGGCGGGCCUAACACAUGCAAGUCGAGCGAGGCUCUCCGUUGCUUGCACUAGAAAAUCGAGUGGCGAACGGGUGAGUAAUACAUGAGAAACCUGCCUUGGAGACGGGGACAACCUCGGGAAACUGAGGCUAAUACCCGAUAUCCCUGCCGAGUCGCAUGACUUGGCAAGAAAAUACUCAGGUGCUCCAAGAGGGUCUCAUGCCCUAUCAGCUUGUUGGUGAGGUAAAAGCUCACCAAGGCUUAGACGGGUAGCUGGUCUGAGAGGACGAUCAGCCACACUGGGACUGAGACACGGCCCAGACUCCUACGGGAGGCAGCAGUGGGGAAUCUUGCGCAAUGGGCGAAAGCCUGACGCAGCCACGCCACGUGUGGGACGACGGCCCUCGGGUCGUAAACCACUUUCAGCAGGGACGAAAAUGACGGUACCUGCAGAAGAAGCCCCGGCCAACUACGUGCCAGCAGCCGCGGUAACGCGUAGGGGGCGAGCGUUGUCCGGAAUUACUGGGCGUAAAGGGCUCGUAGGCGGUUUGGUAAGUCAGAUGUGAAAACUCCAGGCUCAACUUGGAGACGCCAUCUGAUACUGCCAUGACUAGAGUUUGGUAGAGGAGUGCAGAAUUCCCGGUGUAGCGGUGAAAUGCGCAGAUAUCGGGAGGAAUACCAGUCAGCGAAGGCGGCACUCUGGGCCACAACUGACGCUGAGGAGCGAAAGCGUGGGGAGCGAACAGGAUUAGAUACCCUGGUAG